CUACGGGAGGCAGCAGUGGGGAAUAUUGGACAAUGGGCGCAAGCCUGAUCCAGCCAUGCCGCGUGAGUGAUGAAGGCCCUAGGGUUGUAAAGCUCUUUCACCGGUGAAGAUAAUGACGGUAACCGGAGAAGAAGCCCCGGCUAACUUCGUGCCAGCAGCCGCGGUAAUACGAAGGGGGCUAGCGUUGUUCGGAAUUACUGGGCGUAAAGCGCACGUAGGCGGGUAUUUAAGUCAGGGGUGAAAUCCCAGAGCUCAACUCUGGAACUGCCUUUGAUACUGGGUACCUAGAGUAUGGAAGAGGUAAGUGGAAUUCCGAGUGUAGAGGUGAAAUUCGUAGAUAUUCGGAGGAACACCAGUGGCGAAGGCGGCUCACUGGUCCGGUACUGACGCUGAGGUGCGAAAGCGUGGGGAGCAAACAGGAUUAGAAACCCUUGUAGUCC
Molecule: ribosomal RNA, 440 nt
Filed under: uncultured bacterium
Lineage: Bacteria
Description: bacterial SSU rRNA
Rfam family: Bacterial small subunit ribosomal RNA
Source: RNAcentral